UACAUGCUCCCUCCAUUCUAAAAUUCUUGUCUUAAGUUUGAUUAAAAAUGAAUAUCUAAAUAUUAAAACGUGACUAGAUACAUUUAUAUAUAGACAAAUGUAAGACAAGAUUUUUGGAACGGAGGAAGUAGUAC
This is a non-coding RNA of Hordeum vulgare subsp. vulgare (domesticated barley), 134 nucleotides long. The record is from Rfam. NCBI's taxonomy places the organism in Eukaryota, Viridiplantae, Streptophyta, Magnoliopsida, Poales, Poaceae.